CCACGAUCCCCAUCUAAUGAGACAACUCCCCAGUUCCUCCCACCUUCCUCAACUCUCCUCUUUCUUCGAUUAUGGAUGCUAUAAAAAAAAUCGAUUUUUUGAAACCGUAUACACAGAGAAGAUUAUACUUCAGAUUUGGAAAAAGGAAAUUCAUCAAUUUCAUUAUUCUCUGCAGGACAUCAUCGAUUUUAUCUGCACAAGCUGGAAAAAAAACUUUAUGUUUUCUGUCUCUACUGGUGGUAAAUCUCUGUCUCUCUGCAAGUGAAGUUUGGCCAAGUAGAAGAGGCACUCGUUGAUAAUUAGGGUGCUCAAGUUGGUUCGUACUUGAUCUUCUUGGAUUCUCAUUCUUCCAAGUGGUUUUGGUUGUUGCUGCUACUUUGCUGUUGCACAUUCAAGGUAAAUGUUACAUGACAAUAGAAUCUGUUUUGCGUUGUAUGAGCUCGAAAACUAGUACUCCGCCGCUUCCCGAUAAAGUCUAGGCUUCAGCGUCUGUUUAUGUCUUCCAAAACUGCGGAGGAUAUGAGAUGGCAUAAAGAAGGGCGAACUGAUGCUUAUGAUCCAAGUAGUCCAGGGAACCGCAUUAAUGUGUUCUUGAGACCUAUAAAUUUCUCCAGUAGUUAUAAUGAUAUUCUCAAGAAUAAAAUUGUUCAAGAAAACUCUUUUGACCAAUAAAUAGUUCUUCUCGGCCCAUGUGCUGGCCUUGUCGUAUGAUGCUUUGAGAAGGUAAAGUAUUAAGAUUGAUAGAUUUUUUUAUGCACCAUAGUGUUUCUCUUUGGAGAAGGAUAUUUGUCUCACAAAUAGGACCACUCAACCAAAACGUGGAGCAGGGUGGCACUACAAACUCAUGUACAAUUUAGUAACUUACAUUUAUAACUUAUAUUUCGGAUAGCUUGUUGCUGUUAAAAUGCUGUUGGAGUAUUAUAUUAAACUCACUUACAGGGAUGAUUCCUGAAAUUGGGAAUUUGAUGAGAAAUGAAAUGGCUUAGAAAUGUCACUAAGGAUUUUAGUGUUUCAAUGGGAAUAAUAUCGUCAUUGUUGGCUUUGCUUUCUGUCAAUGUUCUAAUAUCAUGAUAAAUUGAUUAUGUCAGCAUCUGACUCCGAAACAAGCUAACUUUACCUUAGCGUAUCUGGAUUACUUUAAUACCAUACCAAUUAUCUCAAUAACCUGAUCCCACUUCUAGUAUGCAUUCUAGUCUUGGGUUUCUUUGUGUUUUGGAUUGGUUUGUGCUUGGUUGACUCAAAUUUUUCAGUUUUCAUGUUGUGCUAUAUUGGUUGUUAUUCUUUUGUUUUUGUGUAUUUGAUAAGCUAUGGGAAGGAGUUGAUACUUAUGAUACUUAAAAGAGUUUAUUUUAGAUCCAAAGUUUGAUUUAAAAAAAAAAAAUAUUUUCCAGUUUGUUUUUGUUUCCUUGUUGAUGUGAUAAGUCAUUAUUGCCUUGUGUACGUUACUGACCUGUUGCCGAUGUUCCUCCCAUCUUAAUGUGUAUUUUUCUGGUGUAUCUGAUAUUUAUUGAUCUGUUUAGGGACUUGUAUGAUAUCGGCAGGGGAGAUUUUGGCGAAAAAUUCUCUCUUUCAUAGAUUGGAGCAAACCUGUUAUGUUUGUAAAACCCAUUUGUAAACGUCGUACAAAAAACUUGAGAUGUUGAUGGUCGAAAGAUCUCCAUUUCAAGUGGUCUCAUAUUCCAUUGCCUUGGGGAGCUGCGUUGUGGCCAUUACCUCUUGGGACGGGCCAUGAGACAUACAUUUAUUCAAUAAUUUAUUCUCAUAAUUACAUGGUUACUUGGUUUGGUAUAUAUAGCCUAUGAGGAUAUCGAAUUAUAAAGAACACCAUCUUUCGGGACUGUAUGGCUUAACGCCUUGGUGACAUAUUCUGCAAUUCUGAGGCUUGUAGGUUUGAAUUUUAUGGGCAACCAGUUGCAAAUUGCUUGGUCUUCUUGGAGUUCCCUCAAUCUUCUAAGUGGUUGUUGCUGCUGCUGCUGCUGUUACUUUGCUGCUGUACGUUCAAGGAAAUAUGGAUGAAAACCCACAACCUCCGGCAGCAAAGAAAGUAAGAGGAGGGGCUAAGUUGAACUUCCUUAAUAAGCUGAAAAAGGGUGAGAAAGUAUCACUGGAAUUUCGCCGGGGUGCACCAGUUGGACCGAACGCAAAUAAGAUCUUGGCUUAUUGUGGAAAGCUGGCUAAAUGGAGAAAACUUCCCGUUUGACAUUCCAGACUGGUCUGAUAUGCCCCAUAAGGAAGAAAAGCUUGAAGAAGCCAUUGAAGAGCUGAAGAAUAUUUUUCAUUAUUCUGGUGAGAUCAACUUUUGGGUGGAGGAGAGAAUCCAUGAAAAAUGGAAGGCAAACAAACGUAACAUGAGGUUGGAACAUUUUGAUGAGAAGAAGACUGAUGAACAAAACCGAGCUAGUUGUCCAAACGAAGUUAUUGACACUCAGUGGGCAAAUAUGUUGAUAUAUUGGCGUUCACCUGAAUUCAAGAGUGAGAAUGGUUGGUUGUGCCUCAUCAUGGUGGUACUAAGUCAUUCGUGAACCACGCGAUAGAGGUAACGACUAAUAUGAAUCGGUAUUGAUAGUUAAUGUUAUGUAGAUCUUGACAUACUAUAUAUGAACAUAUAGAAGAGACAACGCAAAAGAAAGCAAGUCGAGCGGCUGUGUAUCAGAAAACCUAUAGAGCCAAAGAAGGGAAAGGAGACCAGUAUUCUAAAAUCAUGGGAGCUGAGAAACCAGGUCGGAUUCGUGGUGUUGGUUCAACAAUUAAAGUAACCAAGCUUACGGGAGAAUCUUCUUCAAAUGUUGUCCAAAACAACGAGGAAAAUGCUGCAUUAAGAGAUGAAAUAAAAAAACUGAAGGAGGAUCAGGUUCAUAUGCAGAACGACAUGGAAGAAGAACGUCUUGAGAUGAAGAAAACUGUAGAUGAUAUGAAAAAGGCUAACGAGGAAUCACAGAAAAAAGUAGAUGCCCUUUUGCUGCUGUUUGCUGAUCGGUUGUGUAUUAGCAUAUCCACAAAUAUUUUUGGCAGUGUAUUCUCUAGAUUCUUAAAGCUUUCUCGGGCAUGUAUGAGUAUAUCCGCAAAUAUUUUACAAGCUUUCCUAAUUGCAUUUUGUUUUGUAGAGGGACCUCCCACAUCCAGAGCCAUAGAGUUGUGAUCUUAUUACACGAAUCUGAGGUUAAUUUCAUUGAAAGAACAUGUUCAAGGUGUUGGAAGAUAUAUGACAAUUAACUUUGGAAGUAAGAAAUCCAUCUGUGAUAGUUUAAGUAUUUUAUUUUCGUUCACUUUAAGUAUUUUGUGUAUCAAACUUAAAAUGGUUUAGUAUUAAGUAUUUAUUUGCUUCCUGUAUCAGACUCAGAAUGGUUUAGUAUUGAGUUUUUAUUUGCUUCUGAAUGUAAUCAAUCGGACAAACAUGUAGUACUUGUGUUUUUUAAUGAAUAAAUUGUUUUUCUGAAA
Molecule: long non-coding RNA, 3438 nt
Organism: Papaver somniferum (opium poppy)
Lineage: Eukaryota; Viridiplantae; Streptophyta; Magnoliopsida; Ranunculales; Papaveraceae
Exons: 9
Source: RefSeq, a predicted model, not a curated record